AAGUCGAACGGUGAACACGGAGCUUGCUCUGUGGGAUCAGUGGCGAACGGGUGAGUAACACGUGAGCAACCUGCCCCUGACUCUGGGAUAAGCGCUGGAAACGGCGUCUAAUACUGGAUAUGUGACGUGACCGCAUGGUCUGCGUCUGGAAAGAAUUUCGGUUGGGGAUGGGCUCGCGGCCUAUCAGCUUGUUGGUGAGGUAAUGGCUCACCAAGGCGUCGACGGGUAGCCGGCCUGAGAGGGUGACCGGCCACACUGGGACUGAGACACGGCCCAGACUCCUACGGGAGGCAGCAGUGGGGAAUAUUGCACAAUGGGCGCAAGCCUGAUGCAGCAACGCCGCGUGAGGGACGACGGCCUUCGGGUUGUAAACCUCUUUUAGCAGGGAAGAAGCGAAAGUGACGGUACCUGCAGAAAAAGCGCCGGCUAACUACGUGCCAGCAGCCGCGGUAAUACGUAGGGCGCAAGCGUUAUCCGGAAUUAUUGGGCGUAAAGAGCUCGUAGGCGGUUUGUCGCGUCUGCUGUGAAAUCCGGAGGCUCAACCUCCGGCCUGCAGUGGGUACGGGCAGACUAGAGUGCGGUAGGGGAGAUUGGAAUUCCUGGUGUAGCGGUGGAAUGCGCAGAUAUCAGGAGGAACACCGAUGGCGAAGGCAGAUCUCUGGGCCGUAACUGACGCUGAGGAGCGAAAGGGUGGGGAGCAAACAGGCUUAGAUACCCUGGUAGUCCACCCCGUAAACGUUGGGAACUAGUUGUGGGGUCCAUUCCACGGAUUCCGUGACGCAGCUAACGCAUUAAGUUCCCCGCCUGGGGAGUACGGCCGCAAGGCUAAAACUCAAAGGAAUUGACGGGGACCCGCACAAGCGGCGGAGCAUGCGGAUUAAUUCGAUGCAACGCGAAGAACCUUACCAAGGCUUGACAUAUACGAGAACGGGCCAGAAAUGGUUCAACUCUUUGGACACUCGUAAACAGGUUGGUGCAUGGUUGUCGUC
RNAcentral lists this ribosomal RNA (989 nucleotides) under Microbacterium oxydans. Its description in RNAcentral is "bacterial SSU rRNA". It matches the Rfam family "Bacterial small subunit ribosomal RNA", at positions 59 to 1056 of the family's 1533-position model. Lineage: Bacteria; Bacillati; Actinomycetota; Actinomycetes; Micrococcales; Microbacteriaceae. The record is from RNAcentral.